AUGUGACUAGCCCAGUUGGUAGAGCAUGAGACGCUUAAUCACAGGGUAGUGAGUUCGAGCCCCACAUUGUGCA
Podarcis lilfordi (Lilford's wall lizard) is the source of this 73-nucleotide non-coding RNA. The record is from the annotation of a GenBank genome assembly. NCBI's taxonomy places the organism in Eukaryota, Metazoa, Chordata, Lepidosauria, Squamata, Lacertidae.